This 705-nucleotide ribosomal RNA is filed under the name Triticum aestivum (bread wheat). RNAcentral's name for it is "partial small subunit ribosomal RNA". Lineage: Eukaryota; Viridiplantae; Streptophyta; Magnoliopsida; Poales; Poaceae. The record is from RNAcentral.
AUGGAUUCAGUGGCUCUGGCUUGCUGCACCGCGGCCCUCAUCAUUCUAUUCCUUCCUUUGAGUGCCUCCGACGACCGGCUUGUCCCUGGCAAGCCGCUGGGCUUUGGCAACACCAUCAUCUCUGAUGGCGGAGCGUUCGCCUUAGGCUUCUUCAACCCCUCCAACUCCACUCCAGCCAAGCUGUACCUUGGCAUAUGGUACAACAAUAUCCCUGAGCUCACAGUUGUGUGGGUUGCCAACCGUGAAACCCCAAUCUCCAAUAACACUUCCUCUGCACCGAUGCUCUCCCUCACCAACACCUCCAAUCUCGUUAUCUCCGAAGAUAAUAGUGGCGGCCGUGUCCUUUGGACAACGGCCAACAUAACCACUACCAUUGGCUCGUCUACCCCAACAGCGGUGCUUCUGAACACUGGCAACUUCGUCAUCCGAUCGGCAAACGGUACCACGCUGUGGCAGAGCUUCGACCACCCCACGGACACGCUCCUCCCUGGGAUGAAGAUGCGGAUCAAAUACAGCUCACGUGACACUCGCGAUCAUCUGGUAUCCUGGAAGGGCCCCGGCGACCCUUCUCCAGGACGCUUCUCCUUAGGUGGCGACCUGGACACACCCCUCCAAAUAUUUCUGAGGGACGGGCAGAGCUUGGUGACCGUAGCAACCCAUGGACGGGGAUCCAAGUGUUUAGCUUUAGCCAACAACAGCUGGUAG